UAUUUAUUAUCAUAUUGAUAAAAACAUGAAACAAAAUAUGAAAGGAAUUUGCACAAUGACAUUUUCGAAAAUCAAGUGUAUUUUCAAUUUGAAAUUUUUACAAUUUAUAUUGAUAAAAACAUAAAACAAAAUAUAUAAGAAUUUUGCACUAUUUUUUCAAACCAGUGUGUAUUUUCAAUUUGAAAUUUUUACAAUUUUUAAACUUUAAAUAUAAUGUUAGUGGAUUGAUUGUUUAUUGUUUAUGUCAUAGAGUAGUAAGGAAGGGGGAUAACUCACUUUGUCUCUUUGUUUAUAUCUGAACAGAUAACCUUUGACAUAACUUGUUGCUUGUCAUAUCCAUGGCGAUUUGACUACCCAUUAUGGGGACCGACACAAAAUAAAAUUAUAAAACCAACUUCAUUAGAGUUGUUGUAUAUUGUAGCACAGUAAAACAAGGAAGACAAUUCAUAAGAAAGUGAUAAGAUAUACAUUGAUAUGAUGGUAACUACAGUUGUAGAUCUUUGAAUUAUUUUAGUGUUUCAAGACUUUGGAUAAAUUAGCUUUGAAGAAAGAAAAUAAACUGUUUACCACAGUUCAAAAUUCAAAUCUACACAACCAACAAAACGGAGAUCAAUUUUUUGUUUGCAUACUAUAUAGUAAGCUGUAAAUAACGCAAGCAUUGGAAAAUGUGAAUCAAUUCAAAAAGAAAACCAAAACCAAGAUUUAUGCUAAAAUAAAAUAAACUAAAAAAGCAAC
Molecule: long non-coding RNA, 735 nt
Filed under: Mytilus galloprovincialis (Mediterranean mussel)
Lineage: Eukaryota; Metazoa; Mollusca; Bivalvia; Mytilida; Mytilidae
Source: RNAcentral